AAUUCGAAGCAACGCGAAGAACCUUACCAGGCCUUGACAUGCAGAGAACUUUCCAGAGAUGGAUUGGUGCCUUCGGGAACUCUGACACAGGUGCUGCAUGGCUAUCGUCAGCUCGUGUCGUGAGAUGUUGGGUUAAGUCCCGUAACGAGCGCAACCCUUGUCCUUAGUUACCAGCACGUUAUGGUGGGCACUCUAAGGAGACUGCCGGUGACAAACCGGAGGAAGGUGGGGAUGACGUCAAGUCAUCAUGGCCCUUACGGCCUGGGCUACACACGUGCUACAAUGGUCGGUACAAAGGGUUGCCAAGCCGCGAGGUGGAGCUAAUCCCAUAAAACCGAUCGUAGUCCGGAUCGCAGUCUGCAACUCGACUGCGUGAAGUCGGAAUCGCUAGUAAUCGUGAAUCAGAAUGUCACGGUGAAUACGUUCCCGGGCCUU
Molecule: ribosomal RNA, 435 nt
Filed under: uncultured Pseudomonas sp.
Lineage: Bacteria; Pseudomonadati; Pseudomonadota; Gammaproteobacteria; Pseudomonadales; Pseudomonadaceae
Description: bacterial SSU rRNA
Rfam family: Bacterial small subunit ribosomal RNA
Source: RNAcentral